RNAcentral lists this ribosomal RNA (1423 nucleotides) under Klebsiella pneumoniae. RNAcentral's name for it is "bacterial SSU rRNA". It matches the Rfam family "Bacterial small subunit ribosomal RNA". The record is from RNAcentral. Lineage: Bacteria; Pseudomonadati; Pseudomonadota; Gammaproteobacteria; Enterobacterales; Enterobacteriaceae.
AUGCAAGUCGAGCGGUAGCACAGAGAGCUUGCUCUCGGGUGACGAGCGGCGGACGGGUGAGUAAUGUCUGGGAAACUGCCUGAUGGAGGGGGAUAACUACUGGAAACGGUAGCUAAUACCGCAUAAUGUCGCAAGACCAAAGUGGGGGACCUUCGGGCCUCAUGCCAUCAGAUGUGCCCAGAUGGGAUUAGCUAGUAGGUGGGGUAACGGCUCACCUAGGCGACGAUCCCUAGCUGGUCUGAGAGGAUGACCAGCCACACUGGAACUGAGACACGGUCCAGACUCCUACGGGAGGCAGCAGUGGGGAAUAUUGCACAAUGGGCGCAAGCCUGAUGCAGCCAUGCCGCGUGUGUGAAGAAGGCCUUCGGGUUGUAAAGCACUUUCAGCGGGGAGGAAGGCGUUAAGGUUAAUAACCUUGUCGAUUGACGUUACCCGCAGAAGAAGCACCGGCUAACUCCGUGCCAGCAGCCGCGGUAAUACGGAGGGUGCAAGCGUUAAUCGGAAUUACUGGGCGUAAAGCGCACGCAGGCGGUCUGUCAAGUCGGAUGUGAAAUCCCCGGGCUCAACCUGGGAACUGCAUUCGAAACUGGCAGGCUAGAGUCUUGUAGAGGGGGGUAGAAUUCCAGGUGUAGCGGUGAAAUGCGUAGAGAUCUGGAGGAAUACCGGUGGCGAAGGCGGCCCCCUGGACAAAGACUGACGCUCAGGUGCGAAAGCGUGGGGAGCAAACAGGAUUAGAUACCCUGGUAGUCCACGCCGUAAACGAUGUCGAUUUGGAGGUUGUGCCCUUGAGGCGUGGCUUCCGGAGCUAACGCGUUAAAUCGACCGCCUGGGGAGUACGGCCGCAAGGUUAAAACUCAAAUGAAUUGACGGGGGCCCGCACAAGCGGUGGAGCAUGUGGUUUAAUUCGAUGCAACGCGAAGAACCUUACCUGGUCUUGACAUCCACAGAACUUUCCAGAGAUGGAUUGGUGCCUUCGGGAACUGUGAGACAGGUGCUGCAUGGCUGUCGUCAGCUCGUGUUGUGAAAUGUUGGGUUAAGUCCCGCAACGAGCGCAACCCUUAUCCUUUGUUGCCAGCGGUUCGGCCGGGAACUCAAAGGAGACUGCCAGUGAUAAACUGGAGGAAGGUGGGGAUGACGUCAAGUCAUCAUGGCCCUUACGACCAGGGCUACACACGUGCUACAAUGGCAUAUACAAAGAGAAGCGACCUCGCGAGAGCAAGCGGACCUCAUAAAGUAUGUCGUAGUCCGGAUUGGAGUCUGCAACUCGACUCCAUGAAGUCGGAAUCGCUAGUAAUCGUAGAUCAGAAUGCUACGGUGAAUACGUUCCCGGGCCUUGUACACACCGCCCGUCACACCAUGGGAGUGGGUUGCAAAAGAAGUAGGUAGCUUAACCUUCGGGAGGGCCGCUUACCACUUUGUGAUU